UACUUCCUACCUCUUAAGGCACUUUCCUCAUUGUUUUGCCAUAUAACCUUGGACUGCAUGAUAAGCUGAUGAAAUAUCCAUGACUUUUCCCAGAGCAACUAGCAAGGUAUAUGACAUUUUGGCUAGAGAUUAGUGGGAAGGAAAAUUUAGAGGUUUAAGUCCGGAUGUAUGAACCUCAAAAAAAAGUCUUCUAAACACAUAUCAUUUAAGUACAAUAUAUGGAAAUGUAUCUGAGCAGAGAGUCACUAUAACAGUUCUCUCUAAGUAGAUUAGUUCAAUGUCCAAUGAAAGUGAACAUCUUUAUUCCUAUAUUACUAUAGUACUGGAUGAACUGUAUACUGAGUUUUUCAAACAAGUAUUUAAAGUAGAACUUUUAAGUACGAGCAAGGGCAUGAGGAUAAAGACUUUGGGUUGUGUUUCUGUAAGUGUAGUUUACCAUAUAGAGCUUUGUUUCUUAAUUUUAAAAAAGGUUUCAAAGUAUUGCCAUUCAUUAGCAUCCUUAAUGAUUAUGAGCGAUGAGUGUGUAACUCGAAAUCAUAUACAUGUAUUAGUUUAUCUUAACUUUUUACCCUAAAUAAAAGGGAAGGUGUACACCUAAAAGAUGUAAUUAUUUUGCAUUUUUGGCCAUGGGUGGGAAUGGGGUGGGCAUCUACUUGAGCAGUUUUUAAAAAAGAAAAAAAAAAUCAGAAAUAUUUUUCUACUAUUAUAUAUGAUCUUCCUUUAUACUAGUUUAUCCCUAGUAAGGCAUGCCAGAAGCCCAAGCAAGGUACCAUAUCAAGGGUUCUUACGUGCUGUACCUUUCGUUGGUGGGUAAUCGAAUCAGAUGCUUGGCACUGUGGUCAUAGUUAUGAAGUGCUUGUGAGGAUCAGAUUUCACUGAAUACUAAUUUGUUUUACUUAAGAGUCUAAUCUGGGAAGUUUGCAAAUCAUACUAUUAAUGUGUAAUCUAAGCUCUUUCCAAUGUAUCCAUGAAUAAUCCUGGAACAAUAUUGCUUGUAUUCCUGUCACAGAACAGGUUUUGUAAUCUUUAAAAGAAAUGGAAAUUUAUAUAAUAAAGUUUCAAGUAA
RNAcentral lists this long non-coding RNA (1066 nucleotides) under Mus musculus (house mouse). RNAcentral's name for it is "long non-coding RNA chrX:159367174-159368240". Lineage: Eukaryota; Metazoa; Chordata; Mammalia; Rodentia; Muridae. The record is from RNAcentral.